RNAcentral lists this ribosomal RNA (618 nucleotides) under uncultured bacterium. RNAcentral describes it as "bacterial SSU rRNA". It matches the Rfam family "Bacterial small subunit ribosomal RNA", at positions 232 to 860 of the family's 1533-position model. The record is from RNAcentral.
CGCGGCCUAUCAGCUUGUUGGUGGGGUGAUGGCCUACCAAGGCGACGACGGGUAGCCGGCCUGAGAGGGCGACCGGCCACACUGGGACUGAGACACGGCCCAGACUCCUACGGGAGGCAGCAGUGGGGAAUAUUGCACAAUGGGCGGAAGCCUGAUGCAGCGACGCCGCGUGAGGGAUGACGGCCUUCGGGUUGUAAACCUCUUUCAGCAGGGAAGAAGCGCAAGUGACGGUACCUGCAGAAGAAGCGCCGGCUAACUACGUGCCAGCAGCCGCGGUAAUACGUAGGGCGCAAGCGUUGUCCGGAAUUAUUGGGCGUAAAGAGCUCGUAGGCGGUUUGUCACGUCGGAUGUGAAAGCCCGGGGCUUAACCCCGGGUCUGCAUUCGAUACGGGCAGACUAGAGUGUGGUAGGGGAGAUCGGAAUUCCUGGUGUAGCGGUGAAAUGCGCAGAUAUCAGGAGGAACACCGGUGGCGAAGGCGGAUCUCUGGGCCAUUACUGACGCUGAGGAGCGAAAGCGUGGGGAGCGAACAGGAUUAGAUACCCUGGUAGUCCACGCCGUAAACGUUGGGAACUAGGUGUGGGUCACAUUCCACGUGGUCCGUGCCGCAGCUAACGCAU